AGUUUGAUCAUGGCUCAGAUUGAACGCUGGCGGCAUGCCUUACACAUGCAAGUCGAACGGCAGCACGGGGGCAACCCUGGUGGCGAGUGGCGAACGGGUGAGUAAUGCAUCGGAAUGUACCCAGUAGUGGGGGAUAACUAGUCGAAAGAUUAGCUAAUACCGCAUACGCACUAUGGUGGAAAGCGGGGGAUCGCGAGACCUCGCGCUAUUGGAGCAGCCGAUGUCCGAUUAGGUAGUUGGUGGGGUAAAGGCCUACCAAGCCUGCGAUCGGUAACUGGUCUGAGAGGACGACCAGUCACACUGGGACUGAGACACGGCCCAGACUCCUACGGGAGGUAGCAGUGGGGAAUUUUGGACAAUGGGGGAAACCCUGAUCCAGCAAUGCCGCGUGAGUGAAGAAGGCCUUCGGGUUGUAAAGCUCUUUCAGCCGGAAAGAAAACGCACGGGUUAAUAACCUGUGUGGAUGACGGUACCGGAAGAAGAAGCACCGGCUAACUACGUG
Molecule: ribosomal RNA, 502 nt
Filed under: uncultured bacterium
Lineage: Bacteria
Description: bacterial SSU rRNA
Rfam family: Bacterial small subunit ribosomal RNA
Source: RNAcentral